GAUGAACGCUGGCGGCGUGCCUAAUACAUGCAAGUCGAGCGAACAGACGAGGAGCUUGCUCCCCUGACGUUAGCGGCGGACGGGUGAGUAACACGUGGAUAACCUACCUAUAAGACUGGGAUAACUUCGGGAAACCGGAGCUAAUACCGGAUAAUAUAUUGAACCGCAUGGUUCAAUAGAGAAAGACGGCUUUGCUGUCACUAAUAGACGGAUCCGGGCCGCAUUAGCUAGUUGGUAAGGUAACGGCUCACCAAGGCAACGAUGCGUAGCCGAGCUGAGAGGGUGAUCGGCCACACUGGAACUGAGACACGGUCCAGACUCCUACGGGAGGCAGCAGUAGGGAAUCUUCCGCAAUGGGCGAAAGCCUGACGGAGCAACGCCGCGUGAGUGAUGAAGGUCUUCGGAUCGUAAAGCUCUUUUAUUAGGGAAGAACAAAUGUGUAAGUAACUAUGCACGUCUUGACGGUACCUAAUCAGAAAGCCACGGCUAACUCCGUG
RNAcentral lists this ribosomal RNA (497 nucleotides) under uncultured bacterium. Its description in RNAcentral is "partial 16S ribosomal RNA". It matches the Rfam family "Bacterial small subunit ribosomal RNA", at positions 28 to 507 of the family's 1533-position model. The record is from RNAcentral.